RNAcentral lists this long non-coding RNA (828 nucleotides) under Homo sapiens (human). Its description in RNAcentral is "non-protein coding lnc-RNF34-1:1". The record is from RNAcentral. Lineage: Eukaryota; Metazoa; Chordata; Mammalia; Primates; Hominidae.
GAAUAAAAGCAGGCUGCGGAGCCAGCAGCGACAAUCGGUUGGGGUGUUUUUCAGGUGUGUGGGUGGUUUAGUUUUUUCGCUGUUUGGGGCCAUAUUGCUUUUAUGAGCUGUGACACUCACCGCGAAAGUCUGCGAAGCUUCAUUCAUGUAAGCCCCCGAGACCACGAACCUGCCGAGAGGAACGAACAAUUGUAGACGCGCCGCCUUAAGAGCUCUAACACUCACCGCGAAGGUCCGCAACUUCACUCCUGAGCCAGCGAGACCAGGAACCCACCAGAAGGAAAAAACUCUGGAACACAUCGGAAUAUCAGAAAGAACAAACUCCAGACACGCCGCCUUUAACAACUGUAACACUCACAGCGAGUGUCUGCACUUCAUUCUUGAAAGGGAGAGACGUAAGGCAGAAGAAGAUUACAUGUACGAGUUGACAGCAUAAUUCACUGGCAGAAUUCCAAAAAGAUGCUAUCAGUCCAAAAGAAAAUGAUUCUGGGGAGCCAUCUGUUCUCCAGCUGCAGAGAUGUUUCUCUAAAGUGCAAUAAGUAUUGUUGAAACCAUCUUUACUGUAGCGGAAGUCAAUCACAGUCUGGAUUCAGAUGGGAGCUGGUUUAAGCAUUCAGAUGAAGAGAUACUUCGUCAUUUCUACCAGUGAGUCAACUUUAUGACCUAUCUACAACUUUGGCAUUUGCAAACUCAGGUUAAGCAGGGAUGGUUAGAGAGUUUAUUUGAUCUUUUAAAUUAUAAAACUUAUGCAAUGAGUCCAAAAAAGAUGGAUUACCUUGAGUAGGUAAAAUAGUUAUAUUUGUUAAAUUGACCAAGGAUAAAUAAAAA